UCCAGACUCCUACGGGAGGCAGCAGUGAGGAAUAUUGGUCAAUGGGCUUACGCCUGAACCAGCCAAGUCGCGUGAGGGAAGACUGCCCUAUGGGUUGUAAACCUCUUUUGUCAGGGAGCAACGCCGGCUACGUGUAGCCAGACUGAGAGUACCUGAAGAAAAAGCAUCGGCUAACUCCGUGCCAGCAGCCGCGGUAAUACGGAGGAUGCGAGCGUUAUCCGGAUUUAUUGGGUUUAAAGGGUGCGUAGGCGGAAUGCCAAGUCAGCGGUAAAAUCGCGGGGCUCAACCUCGCUCCGCCGUUGAAACUGGCGUUCUUGAGUGGGCGAGAAGUAUGCGGAAUGCGUGGUGUAGCGGUGAAAUGCAUAGAUAUCACGCAGAACUCCGAUUGCGAAGGCAGCAUACCGGCGCCCAACUGACGCUGAAGCACGAAAGCGUGGGUAUCGAACAGGAUUAGAUACCCCAGUA
RNAcentral lists this ribosomal RNA (465 nucleotides) under uncultured bacterium. RNAcentral's name for it is "bacterial SSU rRNA". It matches the Rfam family "Bacterial small subunit ribosomal RNA", at positions 330 to 792 of the family's 1533-position model. The record is from RNAcentral.